AUGGCGGAGCAGGUGGUGGCGGACCUCCGAGAGAAGUGCGCCACGCCGCCGUCGCUGCUGUGCGACGUGGCGGCGGCGAUGGCCGACGAGAUGUGCGCGGGACUGGGGAAGGAGGGUGGGAGCAGGGUCCAGAUGCUGCUCUCCUACGUUGACAAGCUCCCCACGGGGAGAGAGGAAGGUUUGUUCUAUGGACUGGACCUAGGAGGGACAAACUUCCGUGUCUUGAAGGUGCAGCUAGGUGGCAAUGAUAAGCAUGUCAUUAGCUGCGAGUCCAGAGAAGUCGCCAUCCCACCACAUUUGAUGUCAGGGAGCUCCUCUGAAUUGUUUGGUUUCAUUGCUUCUGAAUUAGCCAAGUUUGUGGCUGAUGAAGAGAAGGGUACUAGCUUGUCAAACGAGAAGACACGGAAACUAGGAUUCACAUUUUCUUUCCCAGUGAGGCAACGGUCUGUUGCAUCAGGGACCCUUGUCAAGUGGACAAAGGCAUUUUCUAUAGAAGAUGCUGUAGGUAAAGAUGUAGUUGCUGAACUGCAAACAGCUAUGCAGAAGCAAGGUCUAGACAUGCAUGUGGCUGCACUAAUUAAUGACGCUGUUGGGACAUUGGCUGGAGCCAGAUACUACGAUGAAGAUGUCGUCGCAGGUGUGAUAUUUGGCACUGGCACAAAUGCUGCUUAUGUUGAGAAGGCAAAUGCUAUACCAAAAUGGGAAGGAGAGCUGCCUAAUUCAGGAGAAAUGGUCAUUAAUAUGGAAUGGGGUAAUUUCUAUUCAUGCCAUCUUCCAGUCACUGAAUACGAUCAAGCAUUAGAUAGUGAAAGCUUAAAUCCAGGAGAGCAGAUCUACGAGAAGUUAACCUCAGGAAUGUAUUUAGGUGAAAUUGUAAGGAGGGUGUUGCUUAAACUGUCCUUGCAAUCUGGCAUUUUUGGUGAAAUUGACCACACUAAGCUCAAAACUCAUUUCCAUCUCCGGACUCCGCAUAUUUCUGCAAUGCACCAUGACGACACACCCAAUCUGAAGAUAGUAGAAGAAAAACUGGAAGAAAUCCUAGAGAUUGCAAGCACGUCCUUAGAGACGCGGAAAAUGGUUGUUGAGAUCUGCGACAUUGUUGCAAGAAGGGCAGCCCGGCUGGCUGCUGCGGGCCUUGCAGGGAUCCUCAAGAAGCUUGGGAGAGAUGGCUGCGUCGACAAGCAUCGGUCGGUCAUCGCCAUCGAUGGAGGACUGUUCGAACACUAUGCCAAGUUCAGCAAAUGUUUGGAAGCUACUCUAUAUGAGCUGCUAGGGGAGCAGUCAUCGAAGUCGGUAGUCAUCAAGCACGCGGACGAUGGCUCGGGGAUAGGGGCUGCCCUGAUCGCUGCUUCCCAAUCUCAGUGCAGAAAUGUUGAAUAG
RNAcentral lists this ribosomal RNA (1380 nucleotides) under Triticum aestivum (bread wheat). RNAcentral describes it as "partial small subunit ribosomal RNA". The record is from RNAcentral. Lineage: Eukaryota; Viridiplantae; Streptophyta; Magnoliopsida; Poales; Poaceae.